AAAUUCACAAAGAUGUUAUUGGGACUUGAGGGCUUGUUUCAAGUAGAAGCUGGAUAGGCUGGGACUUAUUCCUCUGAAGCAGAGGAGACUGUGGGGUAACAUUAUAGAGGUAUUUCAAAUCCUUAAGGUCCAGGUGAGGUGGACAGUCAGUCUUCUUCUGAUGUUAGAUCCCAUGAUCUAAAUUUAAGUUCAGCGGUGACCGCGCCUUUGCUGUUGUAGCCCCUAGACUGUGAAACAGCAUUCCCCUCCCUAUCAGAUCUGCCCCCUCCAUCGACUCUAAGUCCAGGCUCAAAACUUACUUUUAUUCACUAGCAUUUGAAUCUUCCUGAUAUGGCUGAUUUUUGGCUUGUGCCUAGGUUCAUGUGUUCUUUAUUUUGUGCCUAUAAGCUGUGUGCCUUGUUGUUUAUAUCUGUGUUUCUUGUAUUUGUGAUUUUAGCUACCUGUUAUGGUUUGUAUAGCACUUUGGUCAAUAUGGGUUGUUUUUAAAUGUGCUUUAUAAAUAAAUUUAACUUGACUUGACUUGACUUAAGGGAGUCUAAAACUGAAGGAUGCAGAUUUAAGAAAAGGAGGAAAAAUUUAAACGGGACCUAAGGGGCAGCAUUUUCCACAUGGUGUAAUGGGUAUAUAGAACAAGCUGCCAGAGGAAACUGCAGAGAUAGAGAUCAGAAAGGCUUCAGACAGCAAACCAACAUUGGUAAAAUGCAAGAAUAUAUCUAACACGGAACUUAGCACCAAAUGUUCUUUUGAAGACCCUGACCUGGAGUUACACGCUGACUUUGGUUCUUUGCGGAAAUGGAACCCGCUCGCGGGGCCUCACAACUGGCCGCUUUUCGAUAUGCCAAGGACGCGGUCUGGAAGACUAGCACGCCUUGAGGGUGCUGGAUUUUUGUGGCUCUGGAGGUGGGCGGAUUCAAGGCCGGUGCUGCUGCCUGAUGCAUUGUGGGAGAUGGAAGAUCAGAAGCAGUGAGCUUGCUGCUGGCUAUGUGCCCACAGACCCGAGUUCUUUGGGCACAGAGAGAGCUCGGAAAAAGUGAUGCAACAGACUUUUAACACUAUAAAUCAGCGAGUUGCUUUGUUAUGUCUCCCCUCUCGCUGUGAAACGGGGACACCUCUUUUUCCCUUAUUAGGGAGAGAGAGAGCCUGUGGUAUGGCGAAUUACCAGGUGAAUAAGUCAUUUUUGGGGUACUACAAGUCUGUGUCUUUACUGAUGCAUUGCUGCACGCUUGAGUGCUUGGUGGGAGUGUGUCGAUGCUUUUUUGCUGUUGGGGAGGGGAGGGGGAGCUGGGCAGGCUUUGGGGUUUAACAUUUAACUGUCAUUCAUUCUUUGCGGCACUCCUCUGUUUUCAUGGGUGUUUGUGAAGAAAAAGAAUUUCAGGAUGUAUAUUGUAUACAUUUCUCUGACAUUAAAUGUACCUAUUGAAACCUAUUGAUGGCAGCAGUGAGGCAAACACCCAAAGCCUAGUUAGUAUUCGUUAUUCCCUGUGCUUCUCAGGAAGGCCGAAUAAAUGAGGCCAGAAAAUAAAUUCAAAUCACAGAGAUUAAAGCCAUUUUAAGGAUUGUGCAAGAAGCUUGGCUGGUCUUAUAGAGUCCAAAGUUUUAGAAAAAUAAUCUCAUUCAGCACAAAUUGAAAAAUAGUAAGAAAAAUUAUAAACAAUUCAUAAAUCACAUAUACCUAUGUUAACAAUAACUAUUUGUUAUAAACCA
This is a long non-coding RNA of Mobula hypostoma (lesser devil ray), 1704 nucleotides long. RefSeq lists it as uncharacterized. The record is from RefSeq and is a predicted model, not a curated record. The transcript is spliced from 3 exons. Lineage: Eukaryota; Metazoa; Chordata; Chondrichthyes; Myliobatiformes; Myliobatidae.